UACGGGGGGGUAAGCGUUGUUCGGAAUUACUGGGCGUAAAGGGCUCGUAGGCGGCCAACUAAGUCAGACGUGAAAUCCCUCAGCUUAACUGGGGAACUGCGUCUGAUACUGGAUGGCUUGGAUUCGGGAGAGGAAUGCGGAAUUCCAGGUGUAGCGGUGAAAUGCGUAGAUAUCUGGAGGAACACCGGUGGCGAAGGCGGCAUUCUGGACCGACAUUGACGCUGAGGAGCGAAGGCCAGGGGAGCAAACGGG
RNAcentral lists this ribosomal RNA (252 nucleotides) under uncultured bacterium. RNAcentral describes it as "partial 16S ribosomal RNA". It matches the Rfam family "Bacterial small subunit ribosomal RNA", at positions 524 to 776 of the family's 1533-position model. The record is from RNAcentral.